This 445-nucleotide ribosomal RNA is filed under the name uncultured bacterium. RNAcentral's name for it is "partial 16S ribosomal RNA". It matches the Rfam family "Bacterial small subunit ribosomal RNA", at positions 354 to 796 of the family's 1533-position model. The record is from RNAcentral.
GUGAGGAAUAUUGGUCAAUGGGCGGGAGCCUGAACCAGCCAAGUCGCGUGAAGGAAGAAGGAUCUAUGGUUCGUAAACUUCUUUUGCAGGGGAAUAAAGUGCAGGACGUGUCCUGUUUUGUAUGUACCCUGAGAAUAAGGAUCGGCUAACUCCGUGCCAGCAGCCGCGGUAAUACGGAGGAUCCGAGCGUUAUCCGGAUUUAUUGGGUUUAAAGGGUGCGUAGGUGGUUUGAUAAGUCAGCGGUGAAAGUUUGCAGCUUAACUGUAAAAAUGCCGUUGAGACUGUCGGACUUGAGUGUAAAUGAGGUAGGCGGAAUGCGUGGUGUAGCGGUGAAAUGCAUAGAUAUCACGCAGAACUCCGAUUGCGAAGGCAGCUUACUAAGCUACAACUGACACUGAAGCACGAAAGCGUGGGGAUCAAACAGGAUUAGAUACCCGAGUAGUCC